Molecule: long non-coding RNA, 158 nt
Organism: Hippocampus comes (tiger tail seahorse)
Lineage: Eukaryota; Metazoa; Chordata; Actinopteri; Syngnathiformes; Syngnathidae
Exons: 4
Source: RefSeq, a predicted model, not a curated record
AAACAAUGCUUCCUCACGCACGCAUAAUUAAGACUUUUUUUUCCUUUUGUAAUGUGUGAAAUCUGGAUAUCUCAAUGCCGUCAUCAUACGGAGUUAACAAGAGAUCAACAAAUAUACUUCAAAUAUACAAAUAACUUCUUCAUCUAUCACAAAGACAG